RNAcentral lists this ribosomal RNA (501 nucleotides) under uncultured bacterium. Its description in RNAcentral is "partial 16S ribosomal RNA". It matches the Rfam family "Bacterial small subunit ribosomal RNA", at positions 30 to 523 of the family's 1533-position model. The record is from RNAcentral.
AUUGAACGCUGGCGGCAGGCUUAACACAUGCAAGUCGAGCGGGGGAAGGUAGCUUGCUACCGGACCUAGCGGCGGACGGGUGAGUAAUGCUUAGGAAUCUGCCUAUUAGUGGGGGACAACACCUCGAAAGGGAUGCUAAUACCGCAUACGUCCUACGGGAGAAAGCAGGGGAUCUUCGGACCUUGCGCUAAUAGAUGAGCCUAAGUCGGACUAGCUAGUUGGUGGGGUAAAGGCCUACCAAGGCGACGAUCUGUAGCGGGUCUGAGAGGAUGAUCAGCCACACUGGGACUGAGACACGGCCCAGACUCCUACGGGAGGCAGCAGUGGGGAAUAUUGGACAAUGGGGGGAACCCUGAUCCAGCCAUGCCGCGUGUGUGAAGAAGGCCUUAUGGUUGUAAAGCACUUUAAGCGAGGAGGAGGCUCUUUUGGUUAAUACCCAAGAUGAGUGGACGUUACUCGCAGAAUAAGCACCGGCUAACUCUGUGCCAGCCGCCGCUGUAA